GAGUGACCUUAGUACCCUAGCCCUUCAUGUAAUCAGAUGGGUGUUGUAAGCAGAGGGAGAACCAUCAGAAAUGAAGAUGCUUGUUUUCCUAGAAACAAGCCCAGGUCAUCCAUCAUGAAGUCCAGGAAUUGUAAAUGUGAGGAAGUGCAAAGACACAACGUACACUUACAAAGGCAUAUGUGCAUUUGGAAUUCUUUAAAGGACAACAUCCUCGAGCUUCUCCUGUUAAAAACAACUGAGACUAUGAAGGGGACACAUGAUGGCAAGUGUGAAAGACUCCAAGGCGAUUCUUCCUCCUACACUGUCUCCCUCCCAGCAAGAAGGCUCCAGGUCCUUGUAACCAUUUUGUCUCCAGCUGCAUCUUGAUGUCUAAUCCAGAACCUUCCCGCUGCAAGUUCCCACAACUGUUCUCUGCUGGAUAUAAAGAACAACUGGUAGCAGGACCCUGAGGUUGGUAAACUGGGGCAUCUCUAAAUGACAACAUUUCAGCUUCAGUAGAGGGAUGGAGUGAUGUGGCCUUUCACGUCUAUGAAAGAAAAGUAAAGAAGAGUUUGUGAGUAACAUUUCCUUCAGCACUCCUCAAAAUUUAGAAAAAUGAAGGCAAGAAACAAGAUGAAGAAGAAAGAAGAAAAGGAUGGGGCCUCCACGUGAAAAGUAACUACAAAACAGAACCAGAAAAUAGUCAUGCUGUUCAAACAUUACACUCCAAGAAAAGAAACUCUAGUGUAUAACAGAGGGGCUCUGUCAAAAUUUAACAACAUAAAUAUUGGGCAAAUGAAGUUGUUUCUCUGGUGCUAUCUCAACCUGCCAAUGGAGAAAUAUCUCAAAAAGUCAAGAAUUGAAGCCAUUACUCAGAGACAGCAUCCUAUGGCAUGGUGAUCCAAAACAAGUACACCUCUACCUUUUCCCUUUCAGCCCCAAACCCCAAAACACUGGAGAAUAUUGGGGCAGGCAAGGCCCGUGAAUAGGUGAGCAGAGCUGGAAGAAGAGACUCCUGCCCCUGGUGGGCCUCAGGCUAUUUGUGGAAUGAUGUUUGUGAGAUGAACAUGUUCGCUCCCUCACCCGGAUGUUUUGGACAUAGGAGCCUGGAGUAAAGAGUGUAUAUCUUGGGCUGUCA
Molecule: long non-coding RNA, 1117 nt
Filed under: Homo sapiens (human)
Lineage: Eukaryota; Metazoa; Chordata; Mammalia; Primates; Hominidae
Description: testicular germ cell expressed HSF2 interacting lncRNA
Source: RNAcentral